Molecule: ribosomal RNA, 453 nt
Filed under: uncultured bacterium
Lineage: Bacteria
Description: bacterial SSU rRNA
Rfam family: Bacterial small subunit ribosomal RNA
Source: RNAcentral
AGAGUUUGAUCCUGGCUCAGAUUGAACGCUGGCGGCAUGCCUUACACAUGCAAGUCGAACGGCAGCGCGGGGGGUAACUCCUGGCGGCGAGUGGCGAACGGGUGAGUAAUAUAUCGGAACGUGCCCUGGAGUGGGGGAUAACUAGUCGAAAGAUUAGCUAAUACCGCAUACGAUCUACGGAUGAAAGUGGGGGAUUCGCAAGAACCUCAUGCUCGUGGAGCGGCCGAUAUCUGAUUAGCUAGUUGGUAGGGUAAAAGCCUACCAAGGCGACGAUCAGUAGCUGGUUUGAGAGAACGACCAGCCACACUGGGACUGAGACACGGCCCAGACUCCUACGGGAGGCAGCAGUGGGGAAUUUUGGACAAUGGGGGCAACCCUGAUCCAGCAAUGCCGCGUGUGUGAAGAAGGCCUUCGGGUUGUAAAGCACUUUUGUCAGGGAAGAAACGGUGAGGG